This 1308-nucleotide long non-coding RNA is filed under the name Bos indicus x Bos taurus (hybrid cattle). RNAcentral's name for it is "lncRNA (ENSBIXG00005024598.1)". The record is from RNAcentral. Lineage: Eukaryota; Metazoa; Chordata; Mammalia; Artiodactyla; Bovidae.
AUGACGGGGGGCCCUGCUUUCUGUGCAGACUCCCUGGCUGGGCCCCUCCCCGUCUGGCCACAGCUGGUCCCCAGCUCUGCGGCUGCGGUCCUGAGACCCACUCUCCAGACCGCGGAGGCCGCGGGAAGCCCGACAGGUGCGUCUCCACCUGCUGCGGAAGCAGGGACAGCCCCAGGCCCUGGCGCCCGCUCCAGCGGGAGGCAUCUUCCCGCCCUGGCACGCGCUCCAGGCCUAAAAAUAGACCUGUCCAUCUGGACAGCGUGUGGUGGCCGGGGAGGGGGCCGCUGGUGGCUUUGCGGGAAUUACCAGGCUGGCCAUCAGGACCCUCGGCCCCAGGCCGCCUCUGAGCAAGAGGCUGGUGGAUUAGGGCCACCGGCCCGCUCGUUAGUGAAGCAGACGUCUUGGACGUGGCCCUGCCACACGGCUCCCCAGCAUCCUUGGUGCCCACUGAGGGGGCUCCCCCGGAAGUCUUCCAGGAAACAUGUGGUCUUUACUCUUUUCGGAUCCCACGGGCUUCUCUUGACUCCUCAGAGGCCUUGGGCUCUGGAUGGGGCCGGGGUCUCCCAGGUCAUCUCUGGGGGAGCAGGUCACCCCACAUGCAGGACGGUGAGGGACACAGGAGCCAGGCGGGCGGCGGUCUGGCUACCGCAGCGCCAUGGACAGGCCCUGCUGUGUGUCAGGCUGAGGAGAGGAGGCCAGAGACCCCGGGGCCAAGAGGAGGGGUCUCUAGGUGGGGGUGGGGCGGGGGCAGGAACUGGAGGCCCAGGGCCAGGGGAUCCGAGUGGCCUGGUUUUCCCUAAGGUUGCGGGGAGCCUGGUGUCGUCAGGAGGGAGGUCAGGGGUGAGGACGGGUAGGGUGCCUAUUGGAGAAAGGGGUGGGGCCCGCCCAGGGGCAGAGGGGACGGAGGUCGGCCACCAGCGUAAGGGUGGGCGUCCAGGAGGCCCGCCUGUCCCCAGGGCCCUGGGGAAGGAGAGCCGUCUCCACAGCUCGCUGUGGGGGCAGCCACCCUGCGUGGCCACAGGGCCUGGGAACACGUGGGCGGCGGGCGGGUGGCCGACAGAAGCAAAGGGCCACGCUGACGGAUGUUGCUCUGCGGAAAUGCCGCAGGGAGGAGCGGCGGACUCACACACCCUGGAGACCACGGGGGGCCGCUGGACGCGUGCUCCCUCUGGAUGGCGGGCAGCAGCUGGGGUCCUGGGCCUCCUGCCCACGUCCUUUCUGGGCCUGGGGCGUCCCAGACGCGGCCCUGCUGGAGGCAGGCCCCGGCUGCUUCGCCUUGGAUCUGCGGUCUGUGACGGACGCGGCUAA